GCUGAUGUGGCUCAGGGGUAGAGCACUUCCUUGGUAAGGAAGAGGUCGGCGGUUCAAUUCCGCUCAUCAGCU
Molecule: transfer RNA, 72 nt
Filed under: Alkaliphilus metalliredigens QYMF
Lineage: Bacteria; Bacillati; Bacillota; Clostridia; Peptostreptococcales; Natronincolaceae
Rfam family: tRNA
About the family: Transfer RNA (tRNA) molecules are approximately 80 nucleotides in length.
Source: Rfam by way of RNAcentral